RNAcentral lists this ribosomal RNA (274 nucleotides) under uncultured bacterium. RNAcentral's name for it is "partial 16S ribosomal RNA". It matches the Rfam family "Bacterial small subunit ribosomal RNA", at positions 523 to 796 of the family's 1533-position model. The record is from RNAcentral.
AUACGGAGGGUCCAGGCGUUAUCCGGAAUCAUUGGGUUUAAAGGGUCCGCAGGCGGUCAAUUAAGUCAGAGGUGAAAGCCCAUCGCUCAACGAUGGAACUGCCUUUGAUACUGGUUGACUUGAGUUAUACGGAAGUAGAUAGAAUAAGUAGUGUAGCGGUGAAAUGCAUAGAUAUUACUUAGAAUACCGAUUGCGAAGGCAGUCUACUACGUAUAUACUGACGCUGAGGGACGAAAGCGUGGGGAGCGAACAGGAGUAGAUACCCGGGUAGUCC